AGAGUUUGAUCCUGGCUCAGGACGAACGCUGGCGGCGCGCCUAACACAUGCAAGUCGAACGAGCGAGAGAGAGCUUGCUUUCUCGAGCGAGUGGCGAACGGGUGAGUACCGCGUGAGGAACCUGCCUCAAAGAGGGGGACAACAGUUGGAAACGACUGCUAAUACCGCAUGAGCCCACGGGUCGGCACCGACCAGAGGGAAAAGGAGCAAUCCGCUUUGAGAUGGCCUCGCGUCCGAUUAGCUAGUUGGUGAGGUAACGGCCCACCAAGGCAACGAUCGGUAGCCGGACUGAGAGGUUGAACGGCCACAUUGGGACUGAGACACGGCCCAGACUCCUACGGGAGGCAGCAGUGGGGAAUAUUGCACAAUGGGGGAAACCCUGAUGCAGCGACGCCGCGUGGAGGAAGAAGGUCUUCGGGUUGUGAACUCCUGUUGUUGAGGAAGAUAAUGACGGUACUCAACAAGGAAGUGACGGCUAACUACGUGCCAGCAGCCGCGGUAAAACGUAGGUCACAAGCGUUGUCCGGAAUUACUGGGUGUAAAGGGAGCGCAGGCGGGAAGACAAGUUGGAAGUGAAAUCCAUGGGCUCAACCCAUGAACUGCUUUCAAAACUGUUAUUCUUGAGUAGUGCAGAGGUAGGCGGAAUUCCCGGUGUAGCGGUGGAAUGCGUAGAUAUCGGGAGGAACACCAGUGGCGAAGGCGGCCUACUGGGCACCAACUGACGCUGAGGCUCGAAAGUGUGGGUAGCAAACAGGAUUAGAUACCCUGGUAGUCCACAUCGUAAACGAUGAUUACUAGGUGUUGGAGGAUUGACCCCUUCAGUGCCGCAGUUAACACAAUAAGUAAUCCACCUGGGGAGUACGACCGCAAGGUUGAAACUCAAAGGAAUUGACGGGGGCCCGCACAAGCAGUGGAGUAUGUGGUUUAACUCGACGCAACGCGAAGAACCUUACCAAGUCUUGACAUCCUGCGACGAUGCUGGAAACAGUAUUUUCCUUCGGGACGCAGAGACAGGUGGUGCAUGGUUGUCGUCAGCUCGUGUCGUGAGAUGUUGGGUUAAGUCCCGCAACGAGCGCAACCCUUAUGGUCAGUUACUACGCAAGAGGACUCUGGCCAGACUGCCGUUGAUAAAACGGAGGAAGGUGGGGAUGACGUCAAAUCAUCAUGCCCUUUAUGACUUGGGCUACACACGUACUACAAUGGCG
Molecule: ribosomal RNA, 1205 nt
Filed under: metagenome
Description: bacterial SSU rRNA
Rfam family: Bacterial small subunit ribosomal RNA
Source: RNAcentral